Non-coding RNA from Caenorhabditis brenneri, 72 nucleotides. Lineage: Eukaryota; Metazoa; Nematoda; Chromadorea; Rhabditida; Rhabditidae. The record is from the annotation of a GenBank genome assembly.
GCACUCGUGGUGUAGUGGCUAACACCCUUGUUUUCAAAUUUCGGGUCCCGGGUUCAAUCCCCACCAGGGUCA